This 408-nucleotide ribosomal RNA is filed under the name uncultured Corynebacterium sp. RNAcentral describes it as "partial 16S ribosomal RNA". It matches the Rfam family "Bacterial small subunit ribosomal RNA", at positions 355 to 774 of the family's 1533-position model. Lineage: Bacteria; Bacillati; Actinomycetota; Actinomycetes; Mycobacteriales; Corynebacteriaceae. The record is from RNAcentral.
UGGGGAAUAUUGCACAAUGGGCGCAAGCCUGAUGCAGCGACGCCGCGUGGGGGAUGACGGCCUUCGGGUUGUAAACUCCUUUCGUCAGGGACGAAGCGAAAGUGACGGUACCUGGAUAAGAAGCACCGGCUAACUACGUGCCAGCAGCCGCGGUAAUACGUAGGGUGCGAGCGUUGUCCGGAAUUACUGGGCGUAAAGAGCUCGUAGGUGGUUUGUCGCGUCGUUUGUGGAAUACCGCAGCUUAACUGCGGGGUUGCAGGCGAUACGGGCAUAACUUGAGUGCUGUAGGGGAGACUGGAAUUCCUGGUGUAGCGGUGGAAUGCGCAGAUAUCAGGAGGAACACCGAUGGCGAAGGCAGGUCUCUGGGCAGUAACUGACGCUGAGGAGCGAAAGCAUGGGUAGCGAACA